This 902-nucleotide long non-coding RNA is filed under the name Cicer arietinum (chickpea). Its description in RNAcentral is "long non-coding RNA (CARI_LNC001892)". Lineage: Eukaryota; Viridiplantae; Streptophyta; Magnoliopsida; Fabales; Fabaceae. The record is from RNAcentral.
ACCUCUUCCUUUUUAUGAUACAUUGUACUCCCUGUUCAGAAUCCAUCUGUCUUCUCUUCACUACUAAAGACCAAUUCCUAAAUGCUCAUUUCACCAAUAGAGACUAAAAAUUAAAUCUCAGUCAACUAGGCAACGGGUAACAAAAAAUUUGAUUUGGUGAAGUAAACUGUAAUUGAAGAUGCAGAUAAGAUAAUUCCUACUACUAAUUUCACCCAACAAUAACAAAAAAAUUGAUUUGACGGCGAUUCCCGCAAAGCUGGUGGUACGGUGUAGAUAAAUUUCUUAGUUUUCCACAACCCUUUGUCAUAUGAGUUCAACUUCAUUUACCUCCCUCAGUUUUUCCCAGAAUACCCUUUAUUUUUUAUUUAUUUUUAUUAUUGACUACGAGUGAUUUUAUGAUGAGAUGAUGGGUUUGGUGGUGGUUAAGUUGAAGCAAUCGAUGACUUUGGUGUCAUUUCUGACAUCGGAGCUUCUAGAAGGUUGGAGGUAAAUGAAGUUGGUUGCUUCCUUGGAGGUUGCAAUUGUAUGGUGGCUGGAAUCUGUAACGCAACCUGCCGUGGAGAGAAGUGGUAAAGGAAACAGAAAAAAAUAUCUAGUGCAUAAGGAGCAUCGUAGUAGUGUGUGGAUCAAAUGAAUCCAAUGGUGAGAAAUUUUGGUCCAAUAUAGACCAAUACUUCUAUGGCUGCAGACUGUAUGAGCCCGAAGUUCUAUAAAUAGAGAGUUAAUUUGAGUUAUCUUGGCCACAACAUUAGAAUUAUAUUUUUCAGGAUCGAUCAACUUUGCAAUUAAACUAUUGGCAUAUGAGUUGCAAUUAAGAGGACUCUAAUUUUUUGUAAUAAUAAAAUAUCGAAAUAAUUUGGUUCAAGUUUCAGUUGAACAUAAUUAAUUUACGUGAAAUUGAU